AGCAAAUAAUGAAAGUUUUAGCAUGAUUCACGCAUUAUGAAUGCCAUGAGAUAUGUUAGGGUGCUUGCAUUAGAAUUCACGAAUAUGUUGCAUUGCAUAUUAUGUUGUUGAUGUGGAUGAAUGUUGAAUGAUCCAUUAGCCCUCAUAUGUUAUGACAUGAUGAUAUGAUAUGGAAGUCCAGGCGUGCCUGCUCUACGCCCCUGGCACUAUGUAAGAGAAAGUCCGGGUGUGCCUGCACUAUGCCCCCAGCAUGAUUGGAUAUGUAUGUUAUGGUAUGGAAGUCCAGGCGUGCCUGCUCUACGCCCCUGGC
RNAcentral lists this long non-coding RNA (310 nucleotides) under Manihot esculenta (cassava). Its description in RNAcentral is "long non-coding RNA (MESC_LNC006990)". The record is from RNAcentral. Lineage: Eukaryota; Viridiplantae; Streptophyta; Magnoliopsida; Malpighiales; Euphorbiaceae.